UACGUAGGGUGCAAGCGUUAAUCGGAAUUACUGGGCGUAAAGCGUGCGCAGGCGGUGAUGUAAGACAGAUGUGAAAUCCCCGGGCUCAACCUGGGAACUGCAUUUGUGACUGCAUCGCUGGAGUGCGGCAGAGGGGGAUGGAAUUCCGCGUGUAGCAGUGAAAUGCGUAGAUAUGCGGAGGAACACCGAUGGCGAAGGCAGCCCCCUGGGCUAGCACUGACGCUCAGGCACGAAAGCGUGGGGAGCAAACAGG
RNAcentral lists this ribosomal RNA (253 nucleotides) under uncultured bacterium. RNAcentral's name for it is "partial 16S ribosomal RNA". It matches the Rfam family "Bacterial small subunit ribosomal RNA", at positions 524 to 776 of the family's 1533-position model. The record is from RNAcentral.